Molecule: long non-coding RNA, 372 nt
Filed under: Helianthus annuus (common sunflower)
Lineage: Eukaryota; Viridiplantae; Streptophyta; Magnoliopsida; Asterales; Asteraceae
Description: hypothetical non coding rna
Source: RNAcentral
GCAUCAUGUAUGCGAAGCAUUGCUCUAUAUUGAACCAAAUAAGCUUUAUUUACAUCUAGAAGCUAAGUCUCUCAACUGUUUUACAGAUCAACCGUCUUAUCAGGCAAACCUUUGACAUUUCAUAAUUUCUUCAUCCCUUUGGUUGUUCUUACAUAUCAGUCUCUUACAAACCCUAACUUUAACCAGUCUUGACACAGAAGUACAUGAGGCAUAGCCUCAAGACCCUGAAGCGCUUUCCUAGUCGUCUUUUCCAGUAACCCAACUUAUCAAAAACCUAUGUUAGAGGCCGAUCGUACGGCGUCGUUUGAGAGCUACGGCGAGUUGAUCGCUUCCGGAGCUUUCCGCCGGCUCCGCCGCUCUGGUAGGUGGUGA